CACACCAGAUCCUUCGCCCUCGCAGCCGCCGCCGAUCCCCUCACUCAAACGCCGCCGCCCGUCGUUGCCGCCCCCGCCACCUUCCGUCGCGGCUCCUUCGCCCUCACAGCCGUCGCCGAUCCCCUCCCUCAAACGCCGCCGCCCGUCGCUGCCGCCCCAGCCACCUCCCGUCGCGGGCAGGCGGGAGGAGCCCUGCCCGGCCAUGGCGACACAACCGGCGGCCUCCUCCUCCCCCUCACCUUCUCUCCCUCUCCCAAGGGAGGGAAGGAAAUGGAAGGGAUCUGAUUGGAGCGGUGGAUCUGCGCCCUUGCCGUCUCUUCUUUUCUUCACCUAUUCCAGGAGGAGAUCGAAGUGGGAGGUAGACGAGCAGGAGCGCCGCGUCCGCGACAACGAUGAACGACGACCCAGGUUCUCCUCUCCCAUGGCAGGGACACCAACUGGUGGCGCAACGGACAGCGGGAGAUCGGCUGGUGGCACCGGAUGGCAGGAGGCCGCAAGACCGUGCGAGGAGCAGGUAGCCGGAGGAUGUCGCCGGUGGAAAUCUGGCAAGUGGCAGCGGCAUAGAGGGCUUAUGGUUUGAUGUUGGUCUUUUUACCUAUAGCACUGAAUUUCAUGUAUAGGUUGUGCUGAUCCUAAGAUUGCCAAAAACUGCUUCGUAAAAAUCACCCAGGUUUGCUUUUUAUUGUGAUUAUGCAAAUUGCUCGAAACCUGAGUUGUCCUAUUUUGUUGAUGAAGGAAUUGAAAUCUGAAGACAUGGUGAUUUUUACCCAAUGGGUUAUGCCCUUGAGCACGAAGAGCAUUUGAACUCUGAGGUUCAGGACCACGCAUGCUUCUCACAUUUAUUGAGACAGAGAGUAUUAAUCAAAAGCGGUUCAAGUUUCCACAAUGAGCUAUACAUCAUCUAAACUUACAUGGAUAUACCAGGUCUGCCUUUCCCUACAAUUUAAGCCUUUGUUUUGGCAGGUAUCAGUCACCUGGUGCUAAACUUGGUGCUUAAUGAUCAACUAGAACAAAGUUUCAUAGCCUUCCAGAUUUGUCAAAUCUACAAUAACAGGAUAAUUCCUGUUAGACAUGUUAUUCUACUGGUACAUGUCAUAUAACAAAAUUCUUGUAUUUUGGAAGGAGAAAACAUUGAGUGGAGCAAUUAUGCAAUUCAAGUGGCAUGGUCAUCAGAGGUUUUGUUUUUUCUUAAUCGUGACAUGUGUUAAUAUUGUGCAAAUCAGAAUAUCAUUUUUUAGGUUUGUAAAUAAAAUUAACCUGAAUAAAGUAUUUUAAACUUAGUGAGCAUAAUAGUGUUUUGUAGUGUGAGGAUAAUAAGGUGAAGUGAGGCUGCUGCUCGCCGGUGGCUCGCCGGCCAUCCGAGAGCCGGAAUUGCGGCCCCACGCGAGGGAAAGAUCAGCGUUGCUGCAACCACGACAGGACACCCACCAUGCGCGUACCAUACAGGCAGCAUCAGCCUCAGGCUUCACCUUGGAUGACAUGACGAUUAUGAAAUAUUCAGUCAUCCCCCUUGGGUCUACGUGUUGGACACUUGGACCUACUCAUGUGUUUGAGAUGAUUGUGCAGAAAAGCUGAAAAAGGGAUAAAAUUCUAUGUGAGAGAUGACCGCUAAAGGAGUGCGACGCCACCAUCCCGUGUCAUGAACCAUACCAAGAAUGGCGGGUUAUGGAUAGAGUUCAUUUGAUCCAUCUGAUAAAAAUACCUAUUGGGGAAUAAGCAUGAAAAGUAAGCAACCACUCUUUCCGCAGUGGAGUCCGGCCGUGAUGAUCAGAAGUUUAGGACCACACUGUAGUCAAGAAAAAGGAAUGAUCUUCGUAAGCUACACCCUUUCGAUCCCAAUCUUACCUUUUUUAAAUUAGUUUUGUUAGUGCUUCCAUUACUUUCUGUUAAAAUAUGCUUAAUGGGCUAGAGACUGUAUAUUUUCAGAAAGUUAUAGUGUGUGGUAUGUUUGCUGAACUUGUGAUGACGGUUCUUCAGGCAGGACUUUCGUCCCUAUAUUUUAACUUUGAACAUCAUUAUAUUUAGACAAAUGAUGUGUUUACUGAAUUAUCGUUGUUUAAUUUUUGAAGUUAUGCCUUUCGUAAUAUUGCAUUGUAGAUAGACAAAAAGAUAUAGGUAUUAAAUUUUGUGGCUCUAGCAUAAAUGUUUAUCACCACGGUGACAUUUAUUUUUCAAUUUAGAUAAGAAAAAAGAGAUAAGUAUUGAACAGAGAGUAGAGAGGAUAAGAGCAUUGUAGUUCAGCGUGGUUCAUGCCAAAGACUGUGAUACAUAUAAUUUCUUAGGAUAGUGCAAAUUCAUUGAUGAUGCAGCGGAAGUAACACAAGUUCUGCUAGAAUUUCUCUCACAUAACAUGGAUAGAGGUGAGUUUUGCAUAAUCCAUCUCAGUAACAAGCUUGCAUUGAGUUAUUCUUUUCAAGAAGCUUACCAUGCACAACUACAGGAUACUUGUAGUUCUCAGUGGCAAUUGAUAGCUACAUUCUUCAAUGGGAGACCUAGCAUGCCUUGAGUACAACAAUACAUGAUCUUCUGGCAACAAACUGUUCAUGAUUGACGCAUAAUAUGUCCUCUGUCCGCAUUUUAAUUAUUUAUAUUAAUAUUUCUGGUUAUCACUGCAGGAGUUGAAAUGGAUUUGAUGAGGGAAGUCUGCAAUGCAGACUGUGUUAAGUGUACCCGCUCCAGAUUUCAUUGACAGUAAAUGGUCCACUGCUAUCGGCAGGAGGAAUAUGCAUGUGUAGGUCGGGGAAGUCGUCGGCAUACAUAUAAGGAGAUGGAGGUGGAGGUGGCGGUGGAGGGAGACGGGCAUUCACUACUCGUCGGAGGGUGAGGGCAUGGAGGACAACCGGCACGACGAUUACCACGCCUUCCUCCCGUCGAAUCACUCAAGCACGACGUCCUGGUCCUCUCUAUCCAUUGGCCCCCUCCAACAUCUACCACGAUGACCACAUGUUGUUUGCGUAGCAGCAGCGGCGGCCAUCCAUGAUCUUCUUUUGUGCCGACCUGCUAGAAACAGGUUGGGCUAUAGACAACUAGAGAUUGGUCACCUGUCUAGCAGCUCAUUUCUGAAAACAAAGACCAGGUCUAUGUGUUGAAAAUCAUGAAGGAGGAUGUCAAAGUGUUUCUGCAGCGCAUCAGGCGGAAGAAAAAGCAACAUGAAGUUCCCGUCUACAUCAAACUGCUUUCACUUAUAUUCUGCCGAAUUUGUUCCAUCUAUAGGACUGUACAUGGAGAUUAUCUAUAAGGGUUAUGUCCCGUACAAGGAGAUUAUCUUAUAGGACAGGCAUAUCAGCCCCCAUUCAGACAUAGCAGAUAUUCAACAGAAGAAGUUCCUCCACUGCUACUGGCCAAACUCUAAGCAAAAAGACCUUCCACUUUCCUUGCUAAUGGUGAGCAACUCAAAGAUGGCUACAAGGUUACACUUAAUAUUUACUCUCUGAAUAACAUAUUAUUUAUUUGACCAAUACAUGUAUAAAUGCCUUGAGAGAACAUGUAUAUAUAGCUGCAUAUAUGUUAUAUCUGAACAAUGGCAGAUUUGACCAUUAAUUACAUGUAUAUACUUGCUAGGAGAGAACGUGUAUAGCUUUCAGUUAAGCUUUUCGAUCAUUAA
Molecule: long non-coding RNA, 3604 nt
Organism: Aegilops tauschii subsp. strangulata
Lineage: Eukaryota; Viridiplantae; Streptophyta; Magnoliopsida; Poales; Poaceae
Source: RefSeq, a predicted model, not a curated record